GGAGGAACCGAAAACCAGGGUCAUCCCACACGUCACUAGCAGGUCUCCUGGCUGGUGGCCACAAGCCAGACACCGCCAGCCAGUUCAGCAGCCCCAGGCCGCCUGGCGCCCGGCGGGUCCGGGUCGAGGUCCUGCCCGACCCACUGUUCGGAUCUGUGGCACCGACUCUCAGGUGCGCUGCGCUGGGUCUUGGCGAGAUCUCGAGGCCAGGGCCGGCCCGGAGGGAAGCUCACCCGUCCCGCAGCGCCUCGGAUUAGGAGACUCUCGCUGAAACCCCAGAGCCGCCGCCGCGCCGCGGGUAACAACACGACUCGAGCCGCCGCAGCCGCCAUUUCUGCUAGAAGGAAGGUAGAGGAUGAAGGAUGUGCUUCCGGGGUCGCGACCUGAGGCCCCAGAGCAGGGAGGCGGACUCCACCUUGUGGCCGUGAUGGGAAUGACACUCCUCGAAGCGGUCGUGAAAGCAAUCAGGGCCUGACCAUGAUGCUGAGCGGUCCUUACCAAAUGAAUUGGGGAGUCUGUAGAAGCCCCCUGUAUCAUCAGUUAUUUUAACGAUCGCCUACUAAGUGCAAAGCACAAAUGCGGUGGAAUGAAAGAUAACCUGAUGCAAUAUAUCUCACUGGUGGAUGGAAUUGAUUGAAAACAGUGGAAUAAUAUUCACAAGUCACUGCCUUUAAAGGAAAAGUCUAGUGGGAGAGACAGAUGCGGUGAGGGGAGGAAAAGAUGUAUCCGUGUUGACCACUAUCCACUCUUCGAACCUAUACAAUAUGGCUCAUCUCAUUCCAUAGAAAUUGCCCUUGACUCAUCUCCCUCCACCUACCCGGCUGCUAUGCUUCGCAGGUUCAGCCCACAAGACUCAUGAUGUAAUGUAAUAAAGGACGACCAAGGUUAUUCUCUCAUGUUUCUAAAACAAACGUGUGUUAACCAAAAAUAAAUACAAACAUGCAUACAUAUAUACAAAAACAUUUAGGUAUAAUCACAGGAAGCACCUAGGAAGUUUUAGCAAGAAUUUGUAUUCAAUUCUAAUAUACUCCAUGGUAUUAAUUUAUUAGUCAUUAUUUACAGUCAAUAUCUUAGAACGUAAAGCCUAUAGAAAUUAAGUGCACCAGAGUAGAGCCAAGAAAUCAAAGUACUUUGACUACUCCCAAAAUAGCCCUACACCCACAACAGUAUCCAUUACUUUUUUUUUUUUUUUUUUGAGACGGAGUUUCGCUCUUGUUGCCCAGGCUGGAGUGCAAUGGUGCAAUCUCAGCUCACUGCAACCUCCGCCUCCAGGGUUCUAGCAAUUCCCUUGCCUCAGCCUCCCAAGUAGCUGGGAUUACAGAUGCCCACCACCACACCCAGCUACUUUUUGUAUUUUUAGUAGAAACGGGGUUUCACCAGGUUGGCCAGGCUGGUCUCAAACUCCUGACCUCAAAUGAUCCUCCUGCCUCAGCCUCCCAAAGUGCUGGGAUUACAGGUGUGAGCCACUGCACCUGGCCUAUUUUAAAUGAUUUCUUAACUGACUGGAUUUUACUGGCAGAGUCAUUGCUAUUUUUGUUGUUUGGAAAUUUUCAUCAUGGAAGUCAUAUUCCUUUAAUUCUUUCAUGUUUGAGGAUGUCUGCUUUUAUGAAUGACAUUUUUGUCUGGAUUUAAUAUUGUUGGGUCACAGUUUCAUUUUCUCAGAAUUUUAUAAACAUUACUCCAUUAUGUUCUUGAGUUAAAUGUUUUGGAAAAGUCUGAGGCUAGCCAGAUUUUUUCUUUUUUUACCACCCUUAAGUGUGACCUGUCUUAUCUGCCUAAAAACCUAAAAAAUUAUUCUUGAAGUUCAAUAACUUAACUAGGCUAUAUCUUAAUGUUGAGUAAUUUUUGUGUCGUGAUUUUUAUCAAAAUUUUCAAAAACAUAAUACGUUUUCAUUCUGCAGUUUCACUUCUUCCUUCACUUUAGAGAAAGUCUCUUUGAAUACAUAUUCUGGCAUUCCAUUCAGUAUGUUAUCUUUUCAAGGACUGCAGCUCUCCUUAUGCUGAAUGACUUUAUCUGUCCUUCAUAUUUAUUAGCAUCUCUCUAACUUUUUAAGGCUUUGUCAUUUUCCUCUACUUUUUUUGUGAUUAUCUCAAGACAGAAGUAGGUCUACACAAACAUGCCCUACUAAUUUUUGGCAAAGGUGCAGAAGCAAUUCAAUAGAUGGAGAAUAGCCUUUCAACAAAUGCUGCUGGAACAAUUAGAUG
Symphalangus syndactylus (siamang) is the source of this 2205-nucleotide long non-coding RNA. RefSeq lists it as uncharacterized. NCBI's taxonomy places the organism in Eukaryota, Metazoa, Chordata, Mammalia, Primates, Hylobatidae. The record is from RefSeq and is a predicted model, not a curated record.